Molecule: long non-coding RNA, 782 nt
Organism: Setaria italica (foxtail millet)
Lineage: Eukaryota; Viridiplantae; Streptophyta; Magnoliopsida; Poales; Poaceae
Exons: 3
Source: RefSeq, a predicted model, not a curated record
GUGCCGGAGGUCGAGAUCAUCCAGAUCGUGGAGAAUGUGUGCAAACUGAAGAAAUAGGAGGCGGAUUGGACGCUCUGGAUCGAUAUCGUUGAGAAAGGCAACAGGCUGGAGGUUUAUGGAACUUUGGCAAUUGCUGAACUUGGGACCGAUCAUGCAGCAUAUCAUAUAGAAGAUCAUUUAGACCUUGCUUCAUGGGCAUAUAUAACAGUUAGCUUCACAAAUCAAGUUGUCACCAACUAGAUCAGAAGUUUCUCCAGAAUACAGCUUGGAGGAAUAUGUCACUGCUCUGGCGUCCGGUGGUACAGAUGCUCAAGAACCGGGAAUUACUCUGCCCGGUCAAGCUUCUGGAGCAGCACAACACAAGACACUGGUGCCUUCCUUGAAAGGAUUAGCAGCAGGAGUACUUAUAGCUGGUGUCUGAUCGUAGACCUGUCCAUACAUGAUGAAAGCCAACAGAAGUUGCAGCUGGGGAAGGAAGCACCGGAGAGUGGGAGCCGCAAACAGCUACUGCGACAGCGAGAUGGCGGUGUGCUCUGAGCACUGAGCUGCACAGGAGCUGCAGGCUAUCGCAAACUGAGGGAAACCGUCUGAGGCAGAGGUAGUCAGCUGGGUUACACCAUGCUCUUUUGAUGUGGGAUGUUCAGUGAACUCUGAUGUAUGAGUAGAGAGGGAACAAUGCAUGCUUCUGAUAGACUGUCCUGUUUUAUGCAAUGCAUUAUGGACGGGGGCUGAGGCCCUGGAACUCUAUAUUUGUAUCCCAUUAUGUUGUCUGUGAAGAUCGA